RNAcentral lists this ribosomal RNA (1557 nucleotides) under Staphylococcus aureus. Its description in RNAcentral is "16S ribosomal RNA". It matches the Rfam family "Bacterial small subunit ribosomal RNA". Lineage: Bacteria; Bacillati; Bacillota; Bacilli; Caryophanales; Staphylococcaceae. The record is from RNAcentral.
UUUUAUGGAGAGUUUGAUCCUGGCUCAGGAUGAACGCUGGCGGCGUGCCUAAUACAUGCAAGUCGAGCGAACGGACGAGAAGCUUGCUUCUCUGAUGUUAGCGGCGGACGGGUGAGUAACACGUGGAUAACCUACCUAUAAGACUGGGAUAACUUCGGGAAACCGGAGCUAAUACCGGAUAAUAUUUUGAACCGCAUGGUUCAAAAGUGAAAGACGGUCUUGCUGUCACUUAUAGAUGGAUCCGCGCUGCAUUAGCUAGUUGGUAAGGUAACGGCUUACCAAGGCAACGAUGCAUAGCCGACCUGAGAGGGUGAUCGGCCACACUGGAACUGAGACACGGUCCAGACUCCUACGGGAGGCAGCAGUAGGGAAUCUUCCGCAAUGGGCGAAAGCCUGACGGAGCAACGCCGCGUGAGUGAUGAAGGUCUUCGGAUCGUAAAACUCUGUUAUUAGGGAAGAACAUAUGUGUAAGUAACUGUGCACAUCUUGACGGUACCUAAUCAGAAAGCCACGGCUAACUACGUGCCAGCAGCCGCGGUAAUACGUAGGUGGCAAGCGUUAUCCGGAAUUAUUGGGCGUAAAGCGCGCGUAGGCGGUUUUUUAAGUCUGAUGUGAAAGCCCACGGCUCAACCGUGGAGGGUCAUUGGAAACUGGAAAACUUGAGUGCAGAAGAGGAAAGUGGAAUUCCAUGUGUAGCGGUGAAAUGCGCAGAGAUAUGGAGGAACACCAGUGGCGAAGGCGACUUUCUGGUCUGUAACUGACGCUGAUGUGCGAAAGCGUGGGGAUCAAACAGGAUUAGAUACCCUGGUAGUCCACGCCGUAAACGAUGAGUGCUAAGUGUUAGGGGGUUUCCGCCCCUUAGUGCUGCAGCUAACGCAUUAAGCACUCCGCCUGGGGAGUACGACCGCAAGGUUGAAACUCAAAGGAAUUGACGGGGACCCGCACAAGCGGUGGAGCAUGUGGUUUAAUUCGAAGCAACGCGAAGAACCUUACCAAAUCUUGACAUCCUUUGACAACUCUAGAGAUAGAGCCUUCCCCUUCGGGGGACAAAGUGACAGGUGGUGCAUGGUUGUCGUCAGCUCGUGUCGUGAGAUGUUGGGUUAAGUCCCGCAACGAGCGCAACCCUUAAGCUUAGUUGCCAUCAUUAAGUUGGGCACUCUAAGUUGACUGCCGGUGACAAACCGGAGGAAGGUGGGGAUGACGUCAAAUCAUCAUGCCCCUUAUGAUUUGGGCUACACACGUGCUACAAUGGACAAUACAAAGGGCAGCGAAACCGCGAGGUCAAGCAAAUCCCAUAAAGUUGUUCUCAGUUCGGAUUGUAGUCUGCAACUCGACUACAUAAAGCUGGAAUCGCUAGUAAUCGUAGAUCAGCAUGCUACGGUGAAUACGUUCCCGGGUCUUGUACACACCGCCCGUCACACCACGAGAGUUUGUAACACCCGAAGCCGGUGGAGUAACCUUUUAGGAGAUAGCCGUCGAAGGUGGGACAAAUGAUUGGGGUGAAGUCGUAACAAGGUAGCCGUAUCGGAAGGUGCGGCUGGAUCACCUCCUUUCUAA